GGAGGUGCGCACGGCUGGCGCGCUUAUCGGUCUUGAAAACCGUGAUGGCCCCGCAAGGGCCGUGGGAGUUCGAUCCUCUCCGCCUCCGCCA
RNAcentral lists this transfer RNA (91 nucleotides) under Verrucomicrobiia bacterium. RNAcentral describes it as "tRNA-Ser". Lineage: Bacteria; Pseudomonadati; Verrucomicrobiota; Verrucomicrobiia. The record is from RNAcentral.